RNAcentral lists this transfer RNA (72 nucleotides) under Marmota monax (woodchuck). It matches the Rfam family "tRNA". Rfam says of the family: Transfer RNA (tRNA) molecules are approximately 80 nucleotides in length. Their secondary structure includes four short double-helical elements and three loops (D, anti-codon, and T loops). Further hydrogen bonds mediate the characteristic L-shaped molecular structure. tRNAs have two regions of fundamental functional importance: the anti-codon, which is responsible for specific mRNA codon recognition, and the 3' end, to which the tRNAs corresponding amino acid is attached (by aminoacyl-tRNA synthetases). tRNAs cope with the degeneracy of the genetic code in two manners: having more than one tRNA (with a specific anti-codon) for a particular amino acid; and 'wobble' base-pairing, i.e. permitting non-standard base-pairing at the 3rd anti-codon position. The record is from Rfam by way of RNAcentral. Lineage: Eukaryota; Metazoa; Chordata; Mammalia; Rodentia; Sciuridae.
UGGGUUGUGGCUCAGUGGUAGAGUGCUUGCCUAGCACGCAUGUGGCACUGGGUUCGAUCCUCAGCACCACAU